UCAAGAGACAUAGCCCCUCAAGAACAAUGUGUAAAGAUUUAAACUUUCAAUGUAUUAGUUAAGCUAGAAACAUUUUAGGAGUAACUUGAAAGCCGUGUACUGUUUGUUUAUAUCAUUCUUUCUUUUUUUUUUUUUUUUCUUCUCUUCAGAUUGCAUUUUAAAUCAAAAUGUUCUCCAUGACUGACUGCUUUGCAGCACUAGGGUACAGGGCAGCAUCCCGUACUCUUUGCAUAAGCACAAGCCCCGCUGACGUCAAUGGGAGUUUUGCUGGAGCGAGGGCUGCGCGCCUUGGCCUGCUGCUAUAAACACGUUGGGACUUUCUCUUUUAAUGGAUGCUGCGAUGGAGAAACGAGUGUUCCUCUAACUCGAUGCACACACAGUCCUCACGCAUCCCCAGACCAACGGCACAGCAGCCACUGGGCCUGCAGGUUAAUACAAGUAAAGUAAUCUGUGUAUCUCCAAGAGAGGAUUGUGGUUGUUUUCUGAAGAAGCCUAUAGGUAAAGGACUUCCAUACAUCCACAAAGGAGGAUUCAUAAAGACAGAGACAAGACUAUAAAGGUAUUAUUUUGACGUGAUGAGCCCUGCUUGGAAAAUAUCUUUGACUCAUCCGAAGUUGUUGCCACUUUUGCUGCCUUUGCCUUGGACAAGUUGAGUAAUUCUCUGGCCCCUUUGAAAUAUGUCUCAUCUGCACCGAAUUUCUGCCAACAAACCAACUGAUAGAUAUGGAUGGGUACCUCGAUCCAUAAAUGAAAGAACAGAACUCAGGAAUCACUGGAAGAAAAUCACCCAGUAACUAUGGGCAGAGAAGCGGGACUGGGAGGGCUUUGAGACCGCGUUUUCUGGAAUGAUUCCUGCCAGGCUGGAAACCCUGCAAGAGCGCGUUGCUUGCACUGCUCCGCUUCCAGCCCCAGGAAGCACACAGGUUCGGUGGAUGUUGCACAUGAGACCAUCUGUACUGGGACAAGUGUGCCCCAGAACAGACCUUCUGAAGAGUGCCAUGUAUUAGUUGUCUGCUUCCAUAGGAUGCUGAAAAUGCACUUAAAGCCUUCCCUCUUACUUUCCUCUAUCCUUCCUCAAUGACCUUUAUUCGAGCCUAAUAUUUUUCUCCAGACUUGCAAUGACAGGCAUUUUUAAUAUGCUUCUGUUGCAUUAAUAAAAAGAUAGCUAUAUAUUAAAAAACCCCUCUUCUGCAGUUACAAGAGUUCCUUUAUAGCUGUAAGGCUAUUAACUAACAUCUUUGUAACAGAGAAAAUAAAUUAUUUGCUUUAUAUUUCAAA
Molecule: long non-coding RNA, 1278 nt
Organism: Tyto alba (common barn owl)
Lineage: Eukaryota; Metazoa; Chordata; Aves; Strigiformes; Tytonidae
Exons: 8
Source: RefSeq, a predicted model, not a curated record